RNAcentral lists this long non-coding RNA (1136 nucleotides) under Strigops habroptila (Kakapo). RNAcentral describes it as "lncRNA (ENSSHBG00005019644.1)". Lineage: Eukaryota; Metazoa; Chordata; Aves; Psittaciformes; Psittacidae. The record is from RNAcentral.
GGGGAGCGGGAGGGAGGGAGCGUGUGUGCUGUGCAUGGAGAGAACAUGCAAGAGGCCAUGUAUGGAGCAUGCACGGAGCACAGUGUGCGCACGCUGCGCCGGAAGAGCGAGCGUGGAGCGUGCAGAGAGAACAUGCGUGGAGCAUGAACAGGGGCACAUACAGAGCGUGCAGAGAGAACAUGUAUGAAGCAUGUGCAAGGGCACGUAUGGAGCAUGCACAAGAGCAUGCAUGGAGGGCGCAGAGAGAGCAUGCAUGGGACAUGCAGGAGGGCAUGAAUGGAGCAUGCGCAAAAGCACACAUGGAGCGUGCAAGAGGACAUGGAUAGAACAUGCAUAGGGCAUGCACAGAGAGUGCAGAGGUAUCAUGCAGGGAGCAUGCAGAAAGCGUGCACAAAGCAAACAGCACGUGCAUGGAGCGUGCAAGCGGGCAUGUGCACAACAGAGAGGGUGCAGAGAGAGCAUGUAUGCAGUAAGCAUGCACGGGGCGUGCAAGAGAGAGCAUGAGGGGCACAUAGAACAUGCACAGAGCUUGCAGCCAAAACUGCAUGGACCAUGUGGAGAGCAUGCACAUGGAGAACACGGCUGAAGCAUGCAUGGAGCAUGCAUGGAGCGUGCAGAGAGUACAUGGAGAGAGCGUGUGGGGACAGCGUGCAUGCCAUGAUCACAGAGAGCACACACAGCGUGCAGGGAGCGUGACAAGACAACAUACAUGAAGGGGUAUACACAUGGAGCACACGAGGAGAGCACGCGUGCAGCAUCACAUGGGGUGCGCGCAGAGCACGCAGCAAGAGUGCAGGGGCAUGCACAGAGCAUGUGAAAGAGCUGGCAUGACGCGUGUACCGAGCACACACGAGCACACGAGGAGCAUGCACACAGCACGCCGAGCGAGCACACGUGUACCCGGCGUGUGCAGGAGCACGCGUGCACACGCCACAGCACACACGGUGCACGCAGGCAGCCUAAACGGGGGGGUCCCUCCUCUCCCGUCGCGUCUCCCCCUCCCAGGCCUUCCCGGGAUAUAGGUUUAGGAUGGAAAUCACGGAGCAGCUGGCCCCGGGGUGCCCGGGUGGGUGCUGGGGCACCCUGGGGUGCUUGGGGUGCGCUACUAACCAAUAAACUAAACAUAGUGCCUGGCC